RNAcentral lists this ribosomal RNA (446 nucleotides) under Salmonella enterica subsp. enterica serovar Infantis. Its description in RNAcentral is "bacterial SSU rRNA". It matches the Rfam family "Bacterial small subunit ribosomal RNA", at positions 1 to 445 of the family's 1533-position model. The record is from RNAcentral. Lineage: Bacteria; Pseudomonadati; Pseudomonadota; Gammaproteobacteria; Enterobacterales; Enterobacteriaceae. RNAcentral also lists the same sequence under 1 other name.
AAAUUGAAGAGUUUGAUCAUGGCUCAGAUUGAACGCUGGCGGCAGGCCUAACACAUGCAAGUCGAACGGUAGCACAGAGAGCUUGCUCUCGGGUGACGAGUGGCGGACGGGUGAGUAAUGUCUGGGAAACUGCCUGAUGGAGGGGGAUAACUACUGGAAACGGUGGCUAAUACCGCAUAACGUCGCAAGACCAAAGAGGGGGACCUUCGGGCCUCUUGCCAUCAGAUGUGCCCAGAUGGGAUUAGCUUGUUGGUGAGGUAACGGCUCACCAAGGCGACGAUCCCUAGCUGGUCUGAGAGGAUGACCAGCCACACUGGAACUGAGACACGGUCCAGACUCCUACGGGAGGCAGCAGUGGGGAAUAUUGCACAAUGGGCGCAAGCCUGAUGCAGCCAUGCCGCGUGUAUGAAGAAGGCCUUCGGGUUGUAAAGUACUUUCAGCGGGGA